AUUGAACGCUGGCGGCAGGCCUAACACAUGCAAGUCGAACGAGUGGCGGACGGGUGAGUAAUGUCUGGGAAACUGCCUGAUGGAGGGGGAUAACUACUGGAAACGGUAGCUAAUACCGCAUACCAUCAGAUGUGCCCAGAUGGGAUUAGCUUGUUGGUGGGGUAACGGCUAACCAAGGCGACGAUCACUAGCUGGUCUGAGAGGAUGACCGGCCACACUGGAACUGAGACACGGUCCAGACUCCUACGGGAGGCAGCAGUGGGGAAUAUUGCACAAGGGGCGCAAGCCUGAUGGAGCAACGCCGCGUGUAUGAAGAAGGCCUUCGGGUCGUAAAGUACUUUUAGCGGGGAGGCGUUACCCGCAGAGGAAGCCCCGGCUAACUCCGUGCCAGCAGCCGCGGUAAUAC
This 406-nucleotide ribosomal RNA is filed under the name uncultured bacterium. RNAcentral describes it as "partial 16S ribosomal RNA". It matches the Rfam family "Bacterial small subunit ribosomal RNA", at positions 30 to 526 of the family's 1533-position model. The record is from RNAcentral.